GCCAGACUCCUACGGGAGGCAGCAGUGGGGAAUAUUGCACAAUGAGGGGAACCCUGAUGCAGCGACGCCGCGUGGGCGAGGAAGUAUUUCGGUAUGUAAAGCCCUAUCGGCAGGGAAGAAGAAAUGACGGUACCUGAAUAAGAAGCACCGGCUAAAUACGUGCCAGCAGCCGCGGGAAUACGUAUGGUGCAAGCGUUAUCCGGAUUUACUGGGCGUAAAGGGAGCGCAGGCGGCGCGCCAAGUCUGAUGUGAAACCCCGGGGCUCAACCCCGGGACUGCCCUUGGAACUGUGCGGCUAGAGUGCGGGAGGGGCAGGCGGAAUUCCUGGUGUAGCGGUGAAAUGCGUAGAUAUCAGGAGGAACACCGGCGGCGAAGGCGGCCUGCUGGACCGCGACUGACGUUGAGGCUCGAAAGCGUGGGGAGCGAACAGGAUUAGAUACCCGUGUAUG
Molecule: ribosomal RNA, 449 nt
Filed under: uncultured bacterium
Lineage: Bacteria
Description: bacterial SSU rRNA
Rfam family: Bacterial small subunit ribosomal RNA
Source: RNAcentral